Long non-coding RNA from Zophobas morio, 380 nucleotides. RefSeq lists it as uncharacterized. Lineage: Eukaryota; Metazoa; Arthropoda; Insecta; Coleoptera; Tenebrionidae. The record is from RefSeq and is a predicted model, not a curated record. The transcript has 3 exons.
CCCCACGAGAAAGCGUGUCAAAGCAAUCCUACUACAACUACUGACUCACCGUCCUUACUUCUCGAUAAUGUUAACGAUAUCAUUAUAAGCUUAGCAGUAAAAGGGCUCUGGCCCGGAUGAAAUUUCUAACACCAGACUUGUAUCAUUCUAGAUUCGGUCUUUCUUGACUUUUGGGAGUUCGUAACAGCCAUACUUUUUACCAAAACAUAUCGCCCUCCCAGUGCAUAGUUGACUGUAGUCCAUUAGAGAGAAUUGGAAUUCUAGAAAAAAUUAUUCCACUAUACUUCAGCUCCUUCAUAUUGUUAAAAAUGUUACGAGAAAAUUUUAAUUAAUAGAGCAGCAAGUCAGUCUUACUGGAUGUUGAAAGGUUUUAGGCAGUA